This 274-nucleotide long non-coding RNA is filed under the name Brassica napus (rape). RNAcentral describes it as "long non-coding RNA (BNAP_LNC021041)". Lineage: Eukaryota; Viridiplantae; Streptophyta; Magnoliopsida; Brassicales; Brassicaceae. The record is from RNAcentral.
GUGGGAAUGUAUUUCUCUUUCUUGUUUCCCUGUUCGUCCUCCACUCAUGGUCAAGCUUAGUGUUCUCGUUUCGUAAGAAGUGCAGGUAUCUUCAUAUGUACUUGCUUGUUGAUUGAGUCCCUUAGCUCUGGGGUUUGUCAAUGGGAGUGGCGAGCGCGCAUCGCAGCUCGUCAUCCUCCUCAGGAGUCUGUGCUGUCAACAAGGGAGAUACCUGCCCCGAUGUAUUAGAUCGAGCAAUAAGAUCGUUUCCGCUUGAUCUGUCGUUUUGCCGGGU